This 254-nucleotide ribosomal RNA is filed under the name uncultured prokaryote. RNAcentral's name for it is "partial 16S ribosomal RNA". It matches the Rfam family "Bacterial small subunit ribosomal RNA", at positions 525 to 777 of the family's 1533-position model. The record is from RNAcentral.
ACGGAGGGUGCAAGCGUUGUUCGGAAUCACUGGGCGUAAAGGGCGUGUAGGCGGCCUGUUAAGUCUGAUGUGAAAUCCCCUCGCUCAACGAGGGAACUGCGUCGGAAACUGGCAGGCUCGAGUACCGGAGAGGAAGGUGGAAUUCCCGGUGUAGCGGUGAAAUGCGUAGAUAUCUGGAGGAAUACCGGUGGCGAAGGCGGCAUCCUGGACCGACAUUGACGCUGAGGGAGCGAAAGCCAGGGGAGCAAACGGGA